GCUCCUAUAGUGUAGCGGCCAAUCAUGAAGCCCUCUCGAGGCUUCGACACGGGUUCAAAUCCCGUUGGGAGCA
Molecule: transfer RNA, 73 nt
Filed under: Methanobacteriota archaeon
Lineage: Archaea; Methanobacteriati; Methanobacteriota
Also listed under: 2 other names
Description: Euryarchaeota archaeon (anaerobic digester metagenome) tRNA-Glu
Rfam family: tRNA
About the family: Transfer RNA (tRNA) molecules are approximately 80 nucleotides in length. Their secondary structure includes four short double-helical elements and three loops (D, anti-codon, and T loops).
Source: RNAcentral